Molecule: ribosomal RNA, 292 nt
Filed under: uncultured bacterium
Lineage: Bacteria
Description: partial 16S ribosomal RNA
Rfam family: Bacterial small subunit ribosomal RNA
Source: RNAcentral
GUGUCAGCAGCCGCGGUAAUACGGAGGGUGCAAGCGUUGUCCGGAUUUAUUGGGUUUAAAGGGUGCGUAGGUGGCUAUUUAAGUCAGUGGUGAAAGCCUGCAGCUUAACUGUAGGACUGCCAUUGAUACUGAAUAGCUUGAGUACUGAUGAGGUAGGCGGAAUUGAUAGUGUAGCGGUGAAAUGCAUAGAUAUUAUCAAGAACACCGAUUGCGAAGGCAGCUUACUAAGGAGUUACUGACACUGAGGCACGAAAGCGUGGGGAUCAAACAGGAUUAGAUACCCCGGUAGUCC